AGCAGCUCAGGUUCAUUUAAAGUCAAGUCACAACAAGUAAGGCAUCACUUAAUACAAUGCUUUUCCAUUUUAAGGUACCACGCUCUGGAAUUUCAGGCUAGAGGGCAAUUCCUUCAAGUGGUCACAACAUGAAAGUCCACGUGAUAUUAUAACAUGGUUGGGACUCUGACACAUUCAGCACUUAAAGUAAAAUUAAGGUAGACCAGGCCUCUCUCUGAAGUAGAAAACCCAUGUCAUCGCAACUGAUUUGCACUAACACACGCGCAGUCACAAAGACACGUGUUCCACUGCAUGAACACAAACAAGCCAACAACCAGCAACCUACAAGGAAACUAUGAUUCAAGUCAAUUUGGUUGAAGAAAAACAAAUUCACUCAAUGGGAAGAAUGAAGUUUCUGCUGUGCGUUAACCGGAGAAUUGAAGUCAGGUAUCAUCGCUGUUGUUGCAAUGCAAAGCACUGCUGCAAGGUGGUCAUCGCUCCAAGAUCGGUUUUGAUUUAUUGAAUUUCGGCACAGAAAACAUCGGCUCACACAUGCAUGUUGAUCUGAACAACACGAGCCUCCCUCUUCUGGGCUUGAGGCCUGAUCUCUGGAAACUUCUGUUCAUCGCGAGAGGAAUAAACCUACAAAGUGGACUGAUUUGAAUUGCUCUGCAAGCAAGGUAUUACACUGCAGGUCAAUCAGCUUGAGAUGGAGAUCACAUGGCACGUUGUUAGCCUCAAAUGUGAAAGUGAGGAAACCAAAGACAGGUCUUUUUCUAUCAUUCCAACAUCCUUGAAUCAGCGAGAAAAUUCAGCAUGCAAGUCAAGUAAUGACGAUGCGUAUUUUUUCCAGGCUUUGAUCACAAACAGCAAUCUGCUGCAACGUAGGAAAACGGGUGAACUCCUUGUUUCGUAUCUCACAGGAGAAAAGGAGUCGCUUUGUCGUAAAUGACUUCGACCCUGAAAUGCAAUUCAUGAGCAAGAAGCCCCUUCCCUUGCAGUCUUGAAUUGAGUUCGUCCAUGUGGUCCAUGAUUUUGCGAAUGGAAAAUCAGAGCGCCAAUCCGCAUCAGUGGGAAAUCCAAAUCUUUUUCUCUUUCGUGUUCAAAAACAAAACCAAUCUUGGCUCAGUUCCCACGUUCUUUUCAAAACGUUACCCAAAUUAAGCCAUGUUACGCUGAGCAUGUCUGUGUGCUCAGAUUCCCUCAAGCAGAGUUACAAACUGCCUGUGGUUUAAUCCUCUCGUUCAAAUGUAGUUGUCUGCUUUCGUAACUGUGUCCACGACCGUGCUUGGUUUCAGAACGCUUCUGCAGAGGACACUGUGAUGAAUAAUGCAAUGUAGAAAAAUAAUGUUCUGUUCUGGAUUUGUUUCUUUGACUUGGCCUUGAAUUCUUUUCAGCUACCCAACACGUUUGCCUGUCAGAUUUGGGCUUCCAUCGGCGGUCACACUCACCAAUUUUUUCUGCUCCAUUCCUAAUUUUGACAUGCAUUGAUUUACUGCCUCCAAUAAAUCUUUUCCAGUUGUUGCA
Alligator mississippiensis (American alligator) is the source of this 1506-nucleotide long non-coding RNA. RefSeq lists it as uncharacterized. The record is from RefSeq and is a predicted model, not a curated record. The transcript is spliced from 2 exons. NCBI's taxonomy places the organism in Eukaryota, Metazoa, Chordata, Crocodylia, Alligatoridae.